This 124-nucleotide ribosomal RNA is filed under the name Erythranthe guttata (spotted monkey flower). Lineage: Eukaryota; Viridiplantae; Streptophyta; Magnoliopsida; Lamiales; Phrymaceae. The record is from RNAcentral.
GGGUGCGAUCAUAACCAGCACUAAUGCACCGGAUCCCAUCAGAACUCCGAAGUUAAAGCGUGCUUGGGCGAGAGUAAGUACUAGGAUGGGUGACCCCCUGGGAAGUCCCUCGUGUUAGCACCCC